UACGUAGGCAGCGAGCGUUGUUCGGAUUUACUGGGCGUAAAGGGUGCGUAGGCGGUUGUUUAAGUUUGGUGUGAAAUCUCCCGGCUCAACUGGGAGGGUGCGCCGAAUACUGAAUGACUAGAGUGCGGGAGAGGAGAGUGGAAUUCCUGGUGUAGCGGUGAAAUGCGUAGAUAUCGGGAGGAACACCAGUGGCGAAGGCGGUUAGCUGGCCUGUAACUGACACUGAGGCGCGAAGGCUAGGGGAGCGAACAGG
RNAcentral lists this ribosomal RNA (253 nucleotides) under uncultured bacterium. RNAcentral's name for it is "partial 16S ribosomal RNA". It matches the Rfam family "Bacterial small subunit ribosomal RNA", at positions 524 to 776 of the family's 1533-position model. The record is from RNAcentral.